AUCUACAGCCAUACCACCCUGAACGUGCCUGAUAGCAUCUGAUCUCGGAAGCUAAGCAGGGUCAGGCCCGGUUAGUACUUGGAUGGGGGAAUUUUGAAGCAUUGUUUCAUUGUCUUUC
Papio anubis (olive baboon) is the source of this 118-nucleotide non-coding RNA. The record is from Rfam. NCBI's taxonomy places the organism in Eukaryota, Metazoa, Chordata, Mammalia, Primates, Cercopithecidae.